CUGUGUGGGGAUAUAGUACUGUGCAGUGCAAAACCUUUUAUAUCCCAGUAAAUAUUGCUCAGUCUGUAUGGACAACAUGUGUUGUGGUCACUAACGCUGUAAUUCUAUGGCUUUGCUGUGCGGACACCUUAUGGUGGUUGUAUGGAUGUGCUAGACUGCUGAUAUGUCUAAAUGCAGUAUUUAAUGUAUUAGUGAUGCCGAUAACAUCACUCAUUACAUUUUAACUAAUGCUGUCUGGUUGCACCAUUUUUAAAUCCUCCACAAUAAGUUUGACUCCAUCCUAUUGAAACACAUGGUGUAUUUUACAAGUCAAUUCAGGCUUGACUUAAGGGAAGCUACUGGUAAACAUGGCUGCCCCACUUACUUAAAAUACUCAUACUUACAGAAUAUUAUGUAAUAACAUUUGAAAAUAUGGUUGUCCUUUUUUGCUUCAGCCUUCCAGUUAGGCUUUUCACUUUCUUUUUUACACUGGUUGUAGUCAAACCGUUACAAGCGGUCCUUGAGCUUAAUUGUGUACAAAUAUAUCAUUCAUAUUGUUUGUGUAUGUGUGCCAGUCCACACAACUGUAAGAUGACUGGGAUAUAGUCACUCUCUUUAGGCCACAUCAAAUGAAAUGGAGUAUCUUAUCAGUCAGUCAACCGCAUGGGGGAGAUGUGAGAAUGUAGCCAUAGUGGCACUCUGCUGGGCCUCUUUUCCUCUGGGUUUGUGGUUGUUUCAUGAUGUCCCCACUCUACCGGCCCCCAGCAUCACAAAGCGGCAUAGCCCUCUUUACACGUCACGAACGGGAACUGUGGAUAAAUCAAUUUUUUUGUAUCAAUGUGUCUAUUGUAGUUAUAUUUUGGGGCCCUAUGCUAAACCUAGCUUGUCGGAUGGGGAGGGAGAUACUGUCAUAGGACUCAAAUGUGGGAAUGCAUCGCAUAACAGCUUAACUGUAAGUUGGGGUUUGUGUGUGAAUUUAGACACUUGUCAGAAUGGAGAGUGAGUUUUGGCCCAAGCGUGUUGAUGGGGUGCACUGUGUACGUGUGAGAGUGCUUUGGAUACACUGGGGGUGUGUCUCAAAUCCACACACCCCUCUUUUCCUCUUUCUCUCACACACCCCUCUCUUCCUCUUUCUCUCACACACACUGAGCUUGGAUCCUAAUCUCCCUCACUGCUAGUUCUCUGGCCUGCUCCUCUCAUGGAGAGAUGACUCAUGUUGAUUACUAAUGCGACAGGCGUUGGUUUGGUGUCAGUGUUUAUGGCCGGGUGAGGGUUGUUUCUCUGUCAUUUCUCUGUGGGUCCAGUGCCGAGGAGGCGUCGGUCGGGACGUAGCUCUGAAAUGGCCGGCGUCACACUGCUUCUGCUUUGUCUACUUCCUGUUGAUGGCUUUUCUGGCCCUGCAGUGGGGAGAUGGAGCAGCUCUAUUGAAGUGUGCUGUGUUGGAGUGAGAAGGGCCCUACUGUAACAGACCCGCCUGACCGUGAAUGGGGAGAUUGCACACUGGGCUGAUUGGUGCUCUGAGGUCACUCGCAAGUCUCCAUUAGUGGAGUCGCGUGAAAUGAACAAACUGUGUAGGCUUGGUUUGUGUGAGUGUGUACCUUCUCUGACAUUGGUGUUGUGCAGAGGGAACCCCAGUCAGUCAGUUAGCUCUGCGGUCACUCUGCCUGCCUUGUGCUCUACUGGGCAUGUGUUGUGUGUUGGACAAGUGGGAACGGACUGCUGGAGUUUUUGCAGGAUUAACACCCACAACUGCAUGACUGGUGUUUCUAUGGCUCAGAAGGGUUCCUAUUUAUAGAUGUCAGGCCUGGUGUAAAUUACUAUAAACAAUAAACUGAACCUCUACCUCCCUGCCUGCACACACCCCUGUCCAAAACAGUUACCUCUGGCUAGUUACUCACAACAUUAAACUCUACUAUUUUAGGGUGGAAUUAACUCUCUAAAAUACAUGAAUACACCCAAACCAAGUGUGGAAUGGUCAGCUUUAAGUCCCUAACCAUUCUAGAUGAAUGCUGAGAAUUGUGAUUUUGGUUUAAUGUGACUGGAUUUUGGUAGUUGGGUUCUGUUAAUAGUGAUUAUAUUCUGUUCAAUUUAUUGUAAUGAUUUAUGAAAAAUGCAGUGUCAUGUGUGUGGGAGAGGGAUAGUAAGAAAUGUGUUUGUAGGUUCUGUGUCAUUGAAGUAUAAUUCAAAUGUAGGCCUAUAUUAUAUUUUAAAGUGAUUGUCAUCUUUAAAAAGUCAAACAUUCUUAGAUAAUGGACAAGAACAUGCCUCCAUACACAAGUACCCAGUUCUUCCAACUUCAGUCUAGUUACACCAUGUAGUUACACCAUGUAGUUACACCAUGUCAUGGUGUAACUAGACUAAAGUUGGAAGUACAUCUGGGUUAUUGUGUAUGGAGGGAUGUGCUUGAAAAUAAAGCCAUAGCUAAGGAAAUUGCCCUAUUAUGUUGAGUUUGACUUUAAACAAUAAAUAAAUAAUAAUAUAAUGUAUCUAGUGUGACAUCUAAAAUGGAUGUGAAGUUGCAUGGGACUGCUUUCAAAACUAAAAUCCUUUCCCAGAAUGUAAUAUCAGGCAUGUAUAACUUGUCCAGUUAUUUGAAAUGUAUUUGCAUGUUUGGUAUUAGUUGCUGUCUAAACUGAAUUAUGAUGUAACUGCUUUUUAUACUCGACAGCAUUGUGCAUACAAUCCUCAUAACCUACUUAAAAUAAUCAAAGAAAUUAUAACUUUCCCUCAACUAAAGUCGAUGUAUCAACUCUUAUCAAAUUAAUUAUUUAAAUGAUAAUCAUUCUCCCAUUGAAUAACAAAGCAACAUUUUAACAUUUACAUAAAACAAUUUUCAGUAUAGUUUAGAAACUUCUUAGAAAUGUACCAUAUAGCCUACACAACAUACACACAUAGCAGAACAGACUUGUGUUACAAAUGAGGCUAAACUAAAUUUGCUCUUGACAAGAGAAGGGUUUGUGAUGGGGGGGGUCUAGAGCGUCCUGCCCCUGUGGAAGGGGGUCACUCGACCUUUGCCCCCAGAGUCAGGUCACUCUGAGUUGCUUAUUCAGGGUGCGAGCCAUAAGAACUGGUUAAAAGGCUGAGGAACAGAGGCGACAAUGGGAGAGAGCAGGGAAAGGUUAAAGCCAUAAUGGUGUGUGUGUGGAUAUUGGGUUGUAGUGACAACUGGUCAAGGCUCCUCUUGGCCCACUGAUGCAGUCUGAGGCCUCAUUCAAUCACCUGGUUCGUGAGUUAAUUUAUGAUUUUUCAUGAAGGUAAAGCAGGAGCGAGAGAGACCCAGAGAGGGAAUGUCUCAAGGAGUGGGAGUGGUGUGUGUGUGGAGUGCACAAGUGUAUUAUUUUUCUUUCUUUAGAUCAAAUCGGGUUAGAUUUAUUUUUCAAUCAACCGGGAGAGCGGGUAUGCAAUUUAAUUAGAAAAAUAUGACAUGCCUGACGUGAAAUGUAAUCAACUGAAAUGAAGUAAGUCUGUAUACUGUAGUUGCUGGUAUGGAAAGUGGGUGAAGUGGUACAGAUAGUUUAAUUCUUUAUUACGAUGUACAUGAGUCUGAAGCAAUAAUAUUAUUCAGGCAAUAAUUAACACUUCUCGUGUUUGUAUUUAUAUAGUGACCAGAAUACACCUUUGCUACUGCAGAUCUUCAAUAGAAAAUGUCUAUGGAUUUUCAGUUUUUAAUUAGUGUUCUAGAUAAACCACUAUAAAACUUGGACCUUAUAUUUCUAGUUUUCUUGUCAGCGUCAUGAAAUAUAGGCCAGUUGCAAUUGAGGCCCCCAUUUCAAAACCUCUUUUAAAAAGGGGACAUAUUUAAGUGACCUAUCUAGAAGUCAUUUGUGGUUUGCUUUGCUGCCCAUUUAGUUGUCAGUGGCCAUUUAACUAAUUCUCUGAGAAAAUUUGUAUUCAGUAUGAGGGAAACGGAAAUCUAUUAAUCAUUAGUUUCCUUGUGUGUCUUUUGACCCACCUUGUCCAAAUUAAUAUUUGUGCCUCAGAGAGGGAGAGUGUGUAUUUGUAUCCCUCGCUCACACUGUCCUGGUUAAGUACUUUCUGUUCUAUGAACACUUAAUAGAACACAAUGGAGCAGGCAUGAUCUCUUUAAGCCAAAAGUACUCCGCCACAGAACACCUGGGAUACUGCCAUCAAUGAUCAACACUAUCCCCUGGUCAUGUAGAUUUUGUGUAUCAUACUUCCCGUGGAGUCUUGUACAGGUGAAAAGGCUUCAAGUUGAGGCUCACCAAAAUCUUAACUGAAAUGGUAAAAAAUAUGAAAUACUGAAAAGAUUGUGUUAGGAGGCCAUAGGCUGUGUUUUAAUUUAUUAGAAUUUCAUUGUUGCGUCCUAUCAGCUGUUUAGUCCAAUUUCACCUUUUUGGGGGGGUAAAUGACUAACUAAAGAUAUCAUUUCUCAUAUGGUGUAACUUGUGUGAAAAUUAAAUCCUGUGAGAAAAUCCUAGGCCAAAUGUCUUUUUAGCUAACUGGCAGUGCUGCUGUUAAUUUAGAAGUUGUAGUGUAAUUAAACUGUAAGAUGCCAAAUGUGUUUGUUCACUUCUCUGCUCCCACCCUGUAAUACCAGGGCCCAUCUCCCGACACAGCACUGUUAACACUGGGUUAUUUCCUUAUACACCCACAGUUGCCCAAGAUGGCGUCAUUGUUUGUUAAUCAUUAUAAACACCCGCUUAGAGAAUAGAAAAACCACACAUUAUUCUCUCAUUUCUGAUGUGUUUUCCAAAUGCUUUAUUUUAAACUCUGACAAGGUCCAGUUGUAAUUCAUGGUGAUGGACUUCAUAUCCUUGGAUUUUGGAUGCCUCUGUUGUACACACAGAUUUGUGGUCAUUUUUCACACACAACCCAGUCCCCUUCUAAUAAGUUACACCAAUCAUUUAUGAAGAUGCUAUCGCUGGCUGGCCAGGGGGGAGUGGAUCAUCAACUAAUUAAUGGUCUUCCAGACGUCCCUUUUUUUCUGUUGGUGACAUUGAUCAGAGUUGUUGAAUUGUGCCAUAGUGCAUUAGUGAUAUUACUAGAGUGGUUAUCGGACCUGAUCAAAUCAGCGGAAGCAGGCGAUAUUUGGAAACUAGGGUAACCAUAAUUGUGCCUAUGAUGCUAGUUAAUACCACACCAUAACUGGUGUAUCACAUUAUAAACCCUUUGUCUGUUUGCUGCUCUACUUUUCAAUAGGUUCCCCUUUGACCAGAUGGAAGUUGAAGGAUGUUUCAUUCAAACAGCAGUCAACCAUAUUUUUUCCCCCCCAGUAUAAUAAAUGUGACUUAGCAGAGUUGGGGACUAGUCUGUCAAGUGACUUGGACAUUGUGAUUAGAUAUUUAUGUCCCUUUGUCAUGCUGUGGUUCAGUCUAAUAUUACUUAUGUUCUACUGAUCUUAGGGGAUAUAGUGAGUAAUGAAUUUUCAUUCUUGAACUGACUGAUUACUUUCAAAAUGGGCAUUUUCUAGCAAUUGCCAGAUUUUUAUUGUUGAAUAAUUAAGAUGUACAUGUCUGAGCUGUAAUAUUUGUAAUUUUGGAAACAAAAUGCUGUAUGCAGAUGAAUUAUAUUUACUUAACCCAAGCCUUGGGGCCAGAUUUAUAAACGUGGCACUAUAGUUUAGCUAAGUAAAACUGGCCUGAUGUGCGAUUUGAAAGUGAAGUGAUUGAAACUGCAUCACCCCUUCAAUUUAGCUGAUUCAGUCUCAACCUGUCAUAAUACACAAACACACGUGAUCUGUUGUAGAAGAGAGAAAAAGUACAACCUCAGUACUUUGCCUUUUUUAUUUAGCUGAUUAUUUACCCACAUUCUCUUCUGUGCUUUUCAGAUGGUUUGAGAGUCCUGGAGUUCCUUUCAGACACUGAUAGGCCAUCUGGAUGCUGCUUUCGGGUGAUUCCUCACAACUUGAGAAAUUAUUAUUUUAAUUUCCACAAUGUAAUCCAUAUAAUGUUCCUUUGGAGGAAGUAUUGUUGGCAUAUAUUUGACAUUUUGUAUCUAAAAGCAUAUUUGAGAAAUAAUCAAUCCGUGUUGGCCUACCCAGACACCAUAACUGUUGCUCUAUAUGGGGCACAAACAAUCUUCAUGUCAUUUAAAACCUCAUUGUAUGCUCUAAAAUGAGGAACAUUUACAUAAUUAAAUCUAUUAGGAUUUUGAAAAGUAUGAAAAUUAUACAUUUCUCAUUGUGUUUUAUGGACUGUUUUACUGACACAGAAGGUAAGAGUGGGAUCUCUGGGACUUUUUUGUUAGUUAUGACCAAAUAUAUGUGGGGUAUGUAGAACUCCAUUCUUCCUAUUGCGAGUAUAUUAUACUGUACUCUGCUGUUCUGUACUGGCAAUAGAAAGAAUGGAGUUCUACAUACCCCACAUAUAUUUGGUCAUAACUAACAAAAAAAAGUCCCAGAGAUCCCACUCUGUAACAGUCUGUCAGUAAAAUAUGAGAAAUUGAAGUCUCUCUAUUUGUGAUACUUUUCAAAAUAUGAAAUGUACAUUAAUCUUGCAAAAUGAAAUGUUUUACUCAUUUUAGUGGACAAGAUGCAUUUUGUACCCCAUAUAUAUCAACAGUUAUGGUAUCUUGCAAUGCUCCUUGGUAGGGCUGAAAUUUAAAAUAUGCUAACUUGGAAUAAUUAUUUCCAAAAGCUUCUAAAUACAAAUUUCAAAUAUAUGUCAACAAUACUUCAUCCAAAGGACCAUUUUUAUGGAUAAAAUUGUGACAAUCCCCAAAAAAUCCCUUUUUGUUCUAGUUUCAUGUGGAAUUACCGUUUCUUUCUCCGAAGUGUGAGGGGGAGAGAGUGAGCCAGAGGAUGAGGGUAUGCAGGAGAGGGAGUUGGAGAGGAUGUGUGUGUGUAUGCAGGGAGUGAGAGGUGUGUGUGUGUGUGUGUGUGUGUGUAAGGGAGAGAAUCAGAUGAUGAGAGAUGGAGCUGGUUGUGGUGGUGCUGUAGCAGCACAGAAUGGUUUGUGGGUUACACAGAGAUGCAGGCCGUACUGUGCUGCCGCAGUAACGCCUGGACAGACAGCAUCUGUGGAACUACCCGGAAGAGUAUGUGGGAGAGUGUGUGUGGGAUCCGACUGCCUCAUCACUGGCUGCCUUGCUGUAGCAGCACGUAAAUAUUGGAGUUAAAACUACUGCUGAAGCCUCCAGUAUUGAACGUGCUGCUGAAGCAAAGCUGACCGCUUACCACCGUUAACUUACGGCAAGUCUGCAUGCAUCAGUCCCUCUACUGCGCAUCGCAGGAGAACGGUGCACAGGAGAAGACACCGAAUGGAGAGGGACGCUGUGUGUCGUCAUAAUGACAGGUACAUAAUUAUUAGGUUAAGCAGUUGUUUUUGUCCAUUUAACUUUUUUACAUGUAUGUUGUAUUUUAUAGUUCAUUUUUUGGGGGUUAUGUUCAUAUAUUUGUAUAUACAUGAACAUUUUAUUUGCACAUUAAAUCAUGCAAACAAGUAAUAAUUUAGACUGGCCCAUGUUUUUUUUGUAUUGAAACGCAUUUGUAUUGCAUUGUCUAAUAAACGUUUUUGAAAUGAU
This is a long non-coding RNA of Oncorhynchus tshawytscha (Chinook salmon), 7461 nucleotides long. RefSeq lists it as uncharacterized. The transcript is spliced from 2 exons. The record is from RefSeq and is a predicted model, not a curated record. NCBI's taxonomy places the organism in Eukaryota, Metazoa, Chordata, Actinopteri, Salmoniformes, Salmonidae.